Molecule: transfer-messenger RNA, 369 nt
Filed under: uncultured Treponema sp.
Lineage: Bacteria; Pseudomonadati; Spirochaetota; Spirochaetia; Treponematales; Treponemataceae
Rfam family: transfer-messenger RNA
About the family: Bacterial tmRNA, also known as 10Sa RNA or SsrA, is named for its dual tRNA and mRNA-like properties. Its role is to liberate the mRNA from a stalled ribosome.
Source: RNAcentral
GGGGAUGUACAGGUUUCGACGGUUGUGGGAACCCCUGUGCUGCAGGUGAGUGUGAAGGUGCUCUGAACUGACAAAAAAAUAACUGCAAAACGUAAAGAAGACGAAAUGUCUGAAAACGAACAGUUCGCUCUUGCUGCGUAAGUAGCUGAGCCAGAACUCUUGCUAUGCUGUUCCGAAGAGUAGGAAGUUCUGACGCCAACCGGGACUUGGUGUAUAUUGUUUCUAGCCAAUAUAUACGACAUUUAGUUAGAAUACGGAAGAGACGCUUGUAAUGCUGCUACCUGUUCCCGACAAUUACCUCGCAUUACUAAACUUGUAGAUGUACUUGGAUUACACUUUCGGACGGGAGUUCGAUUCUCCCCAUCUCCA